Molecule: ribosomal RNA, 524 nt
Filed under: uncultured Acinetobacter sp.
Lineage: Bacteria; Pseudomonadati; Pseudomonadota; Gammaproteobacteria; Moraxellales; Moraxellaceae
Description: bacterial SSU rRNA
Rfam family: Bacterial small subunit ribosomal RNA
Source: RNAcentral
AGUGGGGAAUAUUGGACAAUGGGCGAAAGCCUGAUCCAGCCAUGCCGCGUGUGUGAAGAAGGCCUUUUGGUUGUAAAGCACUUUAAGCGAGGAGGAGGCUACUUAGAUUAAUACUCUAGGAUAGUGGACGUUACUCGCAGAAUAAGCACCGGCUAACUCUGUGCCAGCAGCCGCGGUAAUACAGAGGGUGCGAGCGUUAAUCGGAUUUACUGGGCGUAAAGCGUGCGUAGGCGGCUUUUUAAGUCGGAUGUGAAAUCCCUGAGCUUAACUUAGGAAUUGCAUUCGAUACUGGGAAGCUAGAGUAUGGGAGAGGAUGGUAGAAUUCCAGGUGUAGCGGUGAAAUGCGUAGAGAUCUGGAGGAAUACCGAUGGCGAAGGCAGCCAUCUGGCCUAAUACUGACGCUGAGGUACGAAAGCAUGGGGAGCAAACAGGAUUAGAUACCCUGGUAGUCCAUGCCGUAAACGAUGUCUACUAGCCGUUGGGGCCUUUGAGGCUUUAGUGGCGCAGCUAACGCGAUAAGUAGA